This 345-nucleotide long non-coding RNA is filed under the name Ursus maritimus (polar bear). RNAcentral describes it as "lncRNA (ENSUMAG00000005222.1)". Lineage: Eukaryota; Metazoa; Chordata; Mammalia; Carnivora; Ursidae. The record is from RNAcentral.
AAGUUCCAGCAGCUUCCUCGUCGGUCGACAGUCAGUGGGAAACACUCACUCAGAAGGGAGCACGGUGGCCUUCCGCAACAGGUGUGAGCCUCUCACUGUCUUCUGGCAUCUGGAGGCUGAGCACGGGUCCCCGCUGCAGUGUGUUGAGAACUGGCUUCUGUACAGCCCCACGCACGUGGCUUUCGCUUUCCCUGGCACGUCCCAUAAACAGGUGGCCGUGACCUUGGCCUGUUCACCCAGAGUCUCAAAAACCAGAAGGUUCAGACCAUUCUUCUUUGGAACCCUGAGACAGACGGGAGAAGUGAGCGUGAGAAGUGAGUGAGUGUUAAUAUCUUUAUUAUAUUU